ACACCUUGGCAGGGGAGAUACCAUGACGACAAAGGUGGUUUUUCNGGGGUGAGCCUCAUCCAUUGCCUUCAGGAUGAGCUGACCCCUGGGAUUUCCCCCAAAUUCUGGAAACUCGGCUGCAUAAUCUGUGGUAGUAGGGGACAGUGCUUGCAUUCUCCCUUG
Molecule: small nuclear RNA, 162 nt
Filed under: Neotoma lepida (desert woodrat)
Lineage: Eukaryota; Metazoa; Chordata; Mammalia; Rodentia; Cricetidae
Description: U1 spliceosomal RNA
Rfam family: U1 spliceosomal RNA
About the family: U1 is a small nuclear RNA (snRNA) component of the spliceosome (involved in pre-mRNA splicing). Its 5' end forms complementary base pairs with the 5' splice junction, thus defining the 5' donor site of an intron.
Source: Rfam by way of RNAcentral